Molecule: unclassified non-coding RNA, 253 nt
Filed under: uncultured Nocardioidaceae bacterium
Lineage: Bacteria; Bacillati; Actinomycetota; Actinomycetes; Propionibacteriales; Nocardioidaceae
Description: contains 16S-23S intergenic spacer region
Rfam family: Bacterial small subunit ribosomal RNA
Source: RNAcentral
UACGUAGGGUCCGAGCGUUGUCCGGAAUUAUUGGGCGUAAAGAGCUCGUAGGCGGUUUGUCGCGUCGGGAGUAAAAACUCAGGGCUCAACCCUGAGCGUGCUUCCGAUACGGGCAAACUAGAGGUAUGCAGGGGAGAACGGAAUUCCUGGUGUAGCGGUGGAAUGCGCAGAUAUCAGGAGGAACACCGGUGGCGAAGGCGGUUCUCUGGGCAUUACCUGACGCUGAGGAGCAAAAGCAUGGGGAGCGAACAGG